Anas platyrhynchos (mallard) is the source of this 1908-nucleotide non-coding RNA. NCBI's taxonomy places the organism in Eukaryota, Metazoa, Chordata, Aves, Anseriformes, Anatidae. The record is from RefSeq and is a predicted model, not a curated record.
CCCAAGAGGGGAGCUCACUGCCUGGUGUGACCCAAUGCUAAUUAAUUCAGCCCAGCUGUGACAGGGCUCCAAGGUUUCCUGGGAAGUGCCAGGGAGGCAGAGAUAAGAGGAAGCAAGGAGGGAUGGCUUUCUUCCUCUGUCAUCAGGGAAAGAAAAAAAGAAAAAGCCAGUAUGCAACCUAUGCAAAAACAGCCCUGUGGUCUCAACUGAAGGUAGGAAAACACAUAUACCCCUUGGUAAUCCCAUGUUGGUACUAUCACAUCUUAAGAAUUUGAAGACUUUGCCACAACAUUCAGGGAUGUGAGAAGCUGGAGAAGCUGCUGUCAUCUCACAUUUUAGUUACAGCUCCAUAUGGCUUCCUACAGCUACAGACUGUAGCAGUGAAAUCCCUGUGCAGCCUUACCUGAUGGACAGGCCAUGACUUCAACGUAGUGAUAGGGUGACUUCCCUCGUUUCAACUUUUGCACUAAGUUUUGUAUGUUUCGAAACCCGUAUGCCAAGGCAAACUGGAGCAGAACUACUCCAUCCUUCUCCAGUGUCACCUCUUGGAAGUCCUUGUUUCUGAAGAACAAGAGCAGAGAAUGUCUUAUCAAAAUUAACUUCUAUUUUAAACUUCAAAGAAGCCUACGUCGAAACAAAAUUCCUCAUAGAGUCUUAUUUGAGAAAGCUGUCCUAGUUCUUUGCCACUGAAGCGAAACAGUUGGCAGAGCUAGCUUACAAAUCCUUUUCUGAUCCUGUCUGAAGACCUGCUGCUUGAACUCAGCUUCCUGAAGAACACCCAUAUUGAAUAAAUCCUCAAGACCUAAGCAAAUGGAGCCUAAACUGAAGUUUCAUUGUGACAGGCCACCUGAGCUGGCUUCAGCCAACUUACACAUCAGUGAGGCUACUGAAGGAAACUUAAAACUGUAGUGGGUCAUAAAACCAUGGAGGUAACUAUCAUUGAAGGCUUCUGGACUCCUAACAUUAGUGGAAAUACCUGUUCCUGAUAAGUAAUUUCACUUUUAUCAAGUGUUUUGUAUGGAAAAUGCAAGGAACUGCUUCCAUAUUCCAUCUGCUUCCUACAACAGAGACUACUAAGCACUAAUAUUGUUAAUCAGGACUGUAAUUCACUACAAAUGUCACAUUAAGCUUAUACCUGGGAAGCAUGCAGGAAUCUCAGCUAAAUGUGCUUCUAUACGCAAACCAAAGUGACUUUUUUCUUUCUUACCAUAACACUGUUAAAACGGAGUUCCAAAAUCCUGACAUAAGAUUUUUUUCUCUUCCACGAUAGCUACAUCAGUAACAAAGCUACAUUAUUGGCCUGUUUGCAGGUGAGACAACUCAGAUCCCUGUAAGCUCUGACUUCUAAGUUGCUCUAAAAUUAUCUGAAACUUGAUACUGGGAAAAUCCAUGAGGCCAAAAUGAAAUGUGUGGGUGGUGAAGGGGCUAGAAGUCUCCAAGGGCCAGGCUGCAUGGAGUGCUGGCUGAUUUAUGGCUCAGCAACUGUGGGAGUGAGAAGCCAAUUCCCAUGCCUCAAAGUAAAAUGUUUAACAUUGCAAAGAAAGUUUCAGCCCAUCAGCAAGGCAAAGCAUAAACAGAAUUGUAAUAAAAAUAGUGCUUUCUGUAAAAACUUUAAACUUCUUACUUUAAAGGUUUGUACUGAAUUGUAUCCACUUGAAUUCCAAAGAGUUCCUUGGCUGCAUACUUGUAUAUGUGCUCCAAAUAACCACCAGAACCACCUCCUGAGUGGCUAGUGAGUUCCUCUUCUGCAGCACUACUAAACCUGAGGAAGGGAAGAAAGCAGCAGUUUUAAGGGACUCUUUGAUAAAACAACAGCCAGCGCAAAGCCCACUGUUCCUUCAAACAGAAGUUUCAUUAUGCCAAUACUAAAACAGCUUCAGUACUUCUAACAGAAGCAUCAUGUUGUUA